This 279-nucleotide ribosomal RNA is filed under the name uncultured bacterium. RNAcentral's name for it is "partial 16S ribosomal RNA". It matches the Rfam family "Bacterial small subunit ribosomal RNA", at positions 506 to 784 of the family's 1533-position model. The record is from RNAcentral.
UGCCAGCCGCCGCGGUAAUACGGAGGGGGUUAGCGUUGUUCGGAAUUACUGGGCGUAAAGCGCACGUAGGCGGAUUGGUAAGUUAGAGGUGAAAUCCCAGGGCUCAACCCUGGAACUGCCUUUAAUACUGCUAGUCUUGAGUUCGAGAGAGGUAAGUGGAAUUCCGAGUGUAGAGGUGAAAUUCGUAGAUAUUCGGAGGAACACCAGUGGCGAAGGCGGCUUACUGGCUCGAUACUGACGCUCAGACACGAAGGCUAGGGUAGCGAAAGGGAUUAGAUA